UUGGCUCUUUUAGAGGACCAACGAGCUUGAGAGCUACGGUGACCAGGUAGUUUGGCUUUGUGUUUAUUUCCCAGAGACGAAGAGAAGCCCUGGGAGUUGAAACGAUUCCUCAAAAGCACAGAGCAUCCAGGGACAGGAAGACAGUCUCCAGCAAAUGGUUAGGCCCCCGAUAAUGUAACCCUUCUUCCCUGACAAAUGCCAAAGAAAGAACACAAAGGACUAGGAAGAUAUAUAAUCCCUCCCUCUCAGACCCCCUGGUGCUCUCAAAACAACUCUGGCAGCUCCAGGAUAAACAUCACGGUACAAGGGUGUGUCUGUCUGAACCUGGGCAGGAAAUGGAUGGCACCAAUGGGUUCUCUAGAGUGAGAAUCUGAAGCCGCCUUGAAUCUUCCAUCUUCCCUCACUGCAGCGUCCACUCAGGCGGCAGGUUCAAGGGGCCUGCUUCAAGAAGCAGCACGCUGUUGAUUUAAUUCUCAGCUCUGCUCCCCUACUUCGUUUGUUAUGGGGGUCCUGGCCACAAUUUCCUAGGAAAACUAUCCAGAUACCAGUCCAGCCCAAAGCCACUUGGCUUGUGCAGGCCUUCACAGGGUCAGUAAGGGCUGGUCAACACAAAGAGCUGGUAUAAUGAGCAAGAACUACAAGGGAUGCUGCCAAACUAAUGAUGGAAAAAGACAGGAAUGAAACAGCACAUCAUACUUCAUGCAAGUGUUCUGGGAUCUGCAGUAAGUCUCCCGCAUACCAAUCUUCAAACCGUGAACUUUCAAAGAUGUGAACAUGCGGGGCAGUCCCUGUAUGCCAGCUGCUGUGUUAUACUA
Non-coding RNA from Odocoileus virginianus texanus, 815 nucleotides. Lineage: Eukaryota; Metazoa; Chordata; Mammalia; Artiodactyla; Cervidae. The record is from RefSeq and is a predicted model, not a curated record.